CCCUUAGAUGUUCUGGGCCGCACGCGCGCUACACUGAUGCGUUCAACGAGUUUACAACCUUGAUCGAAAGGUCUGGGUAAUCUUUUGAAUGCGCAUCGUGCUAGGGAUAGAUUAUUGCAAUUAUUAAUCUUGAACGAGGAAUUCCUAGUAAACGCAAGUCAUCAGCUUGCAUUGAUUACGUCCCUGCCCUUUGUACACACCGCCCGUCGCACCUACCGAUUGAAUGGUCCGGUGAAAUCUUGGGAGUCCCAGUGAUGUCUGCUUGCGGACUCGCAGGGGUGAACUUGAUUAAACCUUACCAUUUAGAGGAAGGUGAAGUCGUAACA
This 326-nucleotide ribosomal RNA is filed under the name uncultured eukaryote. RNAcentral describes it as "partial 18S ribosomal RNA". It matches the Rfam family "Eukaryotic small subunit ribosomal RNA", at positions 1470 to 1796 of the family's 1831-position model. The record is from RNAcentral.